This 482-nucleotide ribosomal RNA is filed under the name uncultured bacterium. Its description in RNAcentral is "partial 16S ribosomal RNA". It matches the Rfam family "Bacterial small subunit ribosomal RNA", at positions 30 to 507 of the family's 1533-position model. The record is from RNAcentral.
AUUGAACGCUGGCGGCAUGCCUUACACAUGCAAGUCGAACGGUAACGGGCCUUCGGGUGCCGACGAGUGGCGAACGGGUGAGUAAUACAUCGGAACGUGCCCGAUCGUGGGGGAUAACGAGGCGAAAGCUUUGCUAAUACCGCAUACGAUCUACGGAUGAAAGCAGGGGACCGCAAGGGCUUGCGCGGACGGAGCGGACGAUGGCAGAUUAGGUAGUUGGUGGGGUAAAAGCUUACCAAGCCGACGAUCUGUAGCUGGUCUGAGAGGAUGAUCAGCCACACUGGGACUGAGACACGGCCCAGACUCCUACGGGAGGCAGCAGUGGGGAAUUUUGGACAAUGGGCGCAAGCCUGAUCCAGCCAUGCCGCGUGCAGGAUGAAGGCCUUCGGGUUGUAAACUGCUUUUGUACGGAACGAAAAGCAUUCUUUUAAUACAGGAGGGUCAUGACGGUACCGUAAGAAUAAGCACCGGCUAACUACGUG